Molecule: ribosomal RNA, 450 nt
Filed under: uncultured bacterium
Lineage: Bacteria
Description: bacterial SSU rRNA
Rfam family: Bacterial small subunit ribosomal RNA
Source: RNAcentral
AAUGAACGUUGGCGGCGUGGAUUAGGCAUGCAAGUCGGACGAGAAUCUCCCGCAAGGGAGAGGACAGUGGCAAACGGGGUAGUAAGGCGUAGGUGACGUACCCUCCGGACCGGGAUAGUCAGGGGAAACCCUGGGUAAUACCGGAUGAUCUCUUAGGGCAUGAUCGCUUUGGGAGCAAAGGUGUGAUUCCACCGGGGGAGCGGCUUACGUAGUAUUAGCUAGUUGGUGAGGUAACGGCUCACCAAGGCGACGAUGCUUAGGGGAUGUGAGAGCAUGAUCCCCACCACUGGGACUGAGAUACUGCCCAGACACCUACGGGUGGCUGCAGUCGAGAAUCUUCGGCAAUGGGCGCAAGCCUGACCGAGCGACGCCGCGUGCGGGAUGAAGGCCCUUGGUUGUAAACCGCUGUCAGAGGGAUGAAGUGCGGGUGAGUAAUUCAUAAUCUCAUCC